GAUGAACGCUGGCGGCGUGCCUAACACAUGCAAGUCGAGCGAACAGACGAGGAGCUUUCUCCUUUGACGUUAUCGGCGGACGGGUGAGUAAUACUUAGGUAACCUACCUCUAAGACUUUGUUAACUUCGGGAAACCGGAGCUACUACUGGAUAAUAUUUCGAACCUCUUGCUUCGAUAGUGUAAGAUGGCUUUUCUAUCACUUAUAGAUGGACCUGCGCCGUAUUAGCUAGUUGGUAAGGUAACGGCUUACCAAGGCAGCGAUACGUAGCCGACCUGAGAGGGUGGUCGGCCACACUGGAAGUGAGAAACGGUAGAGACUCCUACGGGGGGCAGCAGUAGGGAAUCUUCCGGGAUGGGGGAAAGCCGGACGGAGCAACGCCGCGGAAGGAAUGAAGGACUUCGGAUGGUAGAACGCUGUUAUUAGGAGAGAAGAAACGUGUAAGUAACUGUGCACGUCUUGACGGUACCUAAUCAAGAAGCCACGGCUAACUACGUG
Molecule: ribosomal RNA, 497 nt
Filed under: uncultured bacterium
Lineage: Bacteria
Description: partial 16S ribosomal RNA
Rfam family: Bacterial small subunit ribosomal RNA
Source: RNAcentral